GAUGAACGCUAGCUACAGGCUUAACACAUGCAAGUCGAGGGGUAACGAGAGGAAAGCUUGCUUUCCUUGUCGACGACCGGCGCACGGGUGAGUAACGCGUAUCCAACCUGCCCCCAACUAGGGAAUAACCUUGCGAAAGUAAGACUAAUACCCUAUAAUUUCCUCAGAUGACAUCUGACGAGGAAUAAAGAUUUAUCGGUUGUGGAUGGGGAUGCGUCUGAUUAGCUUGUUGGCGGGGUAACGGCCCACCAAGGCAACGAUCAGUAGGGGUUCGGAGAGGAAGGUCCCCCACAUUGGAACUGAGACACGGUCCAAACUCCUACGGGAGGCAGCAGUGAGGAAUAUUGGCCAAUGGGCGGAAGCCUGAACCAGCCAAGUAGCGUGCAGGAUGACGGCCCUAUGGGUUGUAAACUGCUUUUAUACAGGAAUAAAGUUAGCCACGUGUGGUUAUUUGUAGGUACUGUAUGAAUAAGGACCGGCUAAUUCCGUGCCAGCCGCCGCAGUAA
This 506-nucleotide ribosomal RNA is filed under the name uncultured bacterium. RNAcentral's name for it is "partial 16S ribosomal RNA". It matches the Rfam family "Bacterial small subunit ribosomal RNA", at positions 28 to 523 of the family's 1533-position model. The record is from RNAcentral.